Molecule: ribosomal RNA, 301 nt
Filed under: uncultured bacterium
Lineage: Bacteria
Description: partial 16S ribosomal RNA
Rfam family: Bacterial small subunit ribosomal RNA
Source: RNAcentral
CAGUCGCCACGGGAAUACGUAGGGUGCAAGCGUUGUCCGGAAUUAUUGGGCGUAAAGAGCUCGUAGGCGGUUUGUCGCGUCUGCUGUGAAAACCCGAGGCUCAACCUCGGGCCUGCAGUGGGUACGGGCAGACUAGAGUGCGGUAGGGGAGAUUGGAAUUCCUGGUGUAGCGGUGGAACGCGCAGAUAUCAGGAGGAACACCGAUGGCGAAGGCAGAUCUCUGGGCCGUAACUGACGCUGAGGAGCGAAAGCAUGGGGAGCGAACAGGAUUAGAUACCCCCGUAGUCCCUGUCUCUUAUAC